Non-coding RNA from Camelina sativa (false flax), 1000 nucleotides. Lineage: Eukaryota; Viridiplantae; Streptophyta; Magnoliopsida; Brassicales; Brassicaceae. The record is from RefSeq and is a predicted model, not a curated record.
CGAGAACCCUAAAAAAUCUAAAUCUUAUUUUCUCUUCUUCUUUUCUCUUCUUCAUCCUCUUCACACCUUCUUCUUCUUUCUCCCUAGGGUUAAGAGUAACGAGAAGCUAAGAUUUUGGCUCAGCAGCCAUGAGUGAGUUGAGAGAGAACGAAUUGAAGUUGCGAUGAAGUGUUUGAGCUUGUCGACGAUGGUGGUAAAGGCUGGGUACGAUCGACCGUACAAAGAGUGCCAACGAGUGUCGUGGAGGCUAGAGAGGCAGAGUAAUCGAUGUGGGGAAAAGGUGGAGGAGGGAAAAGUGCGGUGCGACAGAUGAAGAUCUCGUGACUCUUCAAGGCAUGGCGGAGGCGUCUCUUUCUAUUAAUCUCGCCGAGCGAAAGGAGCAGGUCCCGAUCUCAUUCGUUUGAUUUUAGCUGCACCAGAUGGGUCGAUCCAAGUCUUUACGACGCCUGCGAAACGAGCAAGCUCAGAACCGCCGGAAAUCUAAACUACCCAUCGUUCGCCGUGGGAAGAAAAUCUAAAAUUACAGAGCAAGACUUAUUUCUUUUUCCUGAUUGGCUUUGUAUCAUCUUUCUCGGUUUCAGUGUGUUCUUUGUUUGUGUUAUGUGUUGCGCUGGCUUGUGUUAUUGGACUUGCUGUUUGCUGUUGUCUUCCAUGUAUAAUUGCAAUUAUUUAUGUUGUUGCAGACCAGGGAAGAUUGAAGAGAUAGAGCUUCCUACUCCUAAAGUGGAUGUGAUUAUAUCUGAAUGGAUGGGUUACUUUUUGUUGUUUGUAAACAUGUUGGACAAUGUCUUAUACGCUCGUAAUAAAUGGCUUGUUGAUGGUGGAGUUGUGCUACCAGACAAAGCCUCCCUGCAUCUUACUAGAUAGGAAGGGUAUCAGAUUUGUGGAAUAAAGGAUUUGCAGAUCUCUCAAGACCAGAAGAGUUUCGUGUGACCUUUGAGAGGUUUGGACAUGUGAGAGAUGUCUAUCUUCCCCCAAGAUAAGUGAGCUCCUUUCCAAA